Molecule: ribosomal RNA, 546 nt
Filed under: uncultured bacterium
Lineage: Bacteria
Description: partial 16S ribosomal RNA
Rfam family: Bacterial small subunit ribosomal RNA
Source: RNAcentral
UGGGGAAUUUUGGACAAUGGGCGAAAGCCUGAUCCAGCAAUGCCGCGUGUGUGAAGAAGGCCUUCGGGUUGUAAAGCACUUUUGUCCGGAAAGAAAUCCUUGGCUCUAAUACAGUCGGGGGAUGACGGUACCGGAAGAAUAAGCACCGGCUAACUACGUGCCAGCAGCCGCGGUAAUACGUAGGGUGCAAGCGUUAAUCGGAAUUACUGGGCGUAAAGCGUGCGCAGGCGGUUUGCUAAGACCGAUGUGAAAUCCCCGGGCUCAACCUGGGAACUGCAUUGGUGACUGGCAGGCUAGAGUAUGGCAGAGGGGGGUAGAAUUCCACGUGUAGCAGUGAAAUGCGUAGAGAUGUGGAGGAAUACCGAUGGCGAAGGCAGCCCCCUGGGCCAAUACUGACGCUCAUGCACGAAAGCGUGGGGAGCAAAACAGGAUUAGAUACCCUGGUAGUCCACGCCCUAAACGAUGUCAACUAGUUGUUGGGGAUUCAUUCUUAGUAACGUAGCUAACGCGUGAAGUUGACCGCCUGGGGAGUACGGUCGCAAGAUU